UUUUAUUUGAUUUAAUUAUUAAAAUUUUUAUUUGAUUUAAUUAUUAAAAUUUUUAUUUGAUUUAAUUAUUAAUAUAAAUUAUAAUUAUAAUAAAAUUUAAGAAUCAAUUUCCAUUAAUAUAUUUACAAAAAAAAAACAAUUUUAUUAUAAAUCAUUAAUUAAAUAUACUGUGUACUAUAUAAAAAUUUUAAAAACAAUCAAAUAUUUUAAAAAAAUCUAUAAUUUUUUGUUAAAUAUAAAAAAUAAAAU
This 249-nucleotide transfer RNA is filed under the name Pneumocystis jirovecii. RNAcentral describes it as "tRNA-Pseudo(GAT)". The record is from RNAcentral. Lineage: Eukaryota; Fungi; Ascomycota; Pneumocystomycetes; Pneumocystales; Pneumocystaceae.